UACAUGUGGUUUGGUGGGAUGCCGUUGUUAUUCUCAUGAUCUGUAUCACACACACUUUACCUCUUGUAUUAUACUGUCAAGCUAAUUUUACCCAUCUCUCAUCCUUUCAGUGCUUCCUUUUAAUUUGCUUGUCAGGCUCCCGCAUGUCUUUGUAUCUUUCUUAGUCUCUCCUGAGUAGGACGUUACUAGAGCACAGUAGGAAAUUCACAUUUCAACUACUUUUCUCUACAUCGUUCCUUGCCCUUCCCUGCACCCAUCCGGCCUCUCUGGCAUGUUUCCUAGAUGAUACCUUCCUUCAUGAUGCAUUAAGGUUUAUUUUCCCUGAGUACAUCAGCUGCUGUUUGGAAUCUUUUUCACCUUUUUCUUCAAAAUGGAAAUGAUCUGGUGCUCUGUUACCUUGUUUCCCACAUGAUCGUGAAGGAGUAGGCAGAGGAACGGUGGCUGGAAUACGGAACUGGUUGGGGCUGAGCAGCAGUUGCCAUUUCUGCCUCCUCCUCGCACUGUGUUUGUCGCUGACCACCGGUGGGUUUUGACACGUCCAUUGGGCUGUCCUGAAAUGCACAUGACUUCUUGAGUGCUCUGUAUGAGAGAUGUAUUGCUGUUGCUGACCACCUCCCAGAGAGGGCCUGAAAACUAUUUGGGAGUCAUAACAGCAGCAUCAUUAGUCCCAGAGCCGGCAGCUUCCUGCAGAGGGGUGAAGGUGGCAAUCCUGUUAAACCACUGCAGCUGUGUGCUUGGGGAACACCAGACCCAGCUGAAGGUCCUGUUGGCUCCAGGUGAUGUUAGAAGAGCAGAUUUAAGGAUCCCUCAGCCAAGUGCACCUGUAAAGAUUGUAAGGUGUUCCUGAUGCUACAGCACUGCAGGCUGCUGAGGAUGCCAGUUUUCUAAGAAAAACUGGCUGAGGAAAUAUAACAUGCUGAAGGCGGUUACCUUUGUUCGAAGCCAACUGAGACAGCACCAGCCCUCAGUAAUUACAGCCAUACAGUUUCCAGGAGACUCCUCCUUCACCAGACCUGUCGUCUCAUGUCCCCAUUUGUAAUGCUGUUCAUUAUAUUCAACCUGCUGCCGUCACUCUGGAGCUUUCAAAAGAAACAUGCUCAUUUCACCAUGAUAUCAAAGACCAAGGCAGUAGCAGAAAGAGAAGAAGAGAAAAAGGAGACAAAAAGACAUUGAGCCAGUGUCACGAAACAGAGCUGGCACUUCGUCAUGGGCACAACACUGAUGCUGCUUGGCUUCUUACACGAUCUUCACAGAGCACAGGGUGCUCUUGUCCGCAGGAACUCAUGAUGAUUAGCUGACGUCAGUCGGAGAGAAUGAGCUAUGUCAAGUUCAGGAUCAGCUUGAUGAAAGCCACCAGUGCUCAGGUUCACUGAAUGACAUGGGCUGUUUGACACAGGCAGUGUCUUGGGCAGAAUUCUCAUUUUGAUGCCCCUAAAACAACGACAACAACCACCAAACAGAAAAGAGAGCAGUGAGAUGAAUAGCAACGUUGCAUCUGCUUGUAUUGUCCACACGGGCUGCUGCUGAGUCGGCAGGAAGGAAGAGGAUGGAAAACAAACGGCGGCGGAAGUGAAAAAGGGCGAGAAGUACCUCGAUGGAGCCUGAAGUAUCACAUUUGCUGUGCAGAAGUGCUGGAUCUAUGGCUUUUGAGUGCCCACAUGAACAGGUUCUGUUUUAUCUUUUUUGCCUGGUUUUCUAGAGGAAUAAGUUGGAUUCAGCCACGCUGGUGUCUCCAGGGCACUCACUAACUGCUGAAUGCGCUGUUGCGUCCCCCCCACAUUUGAUGAUGUGGGACAGAGCUUCAAAGAUACCAAGUUUCUUGGAGAACAGCUACAUAAAUACCACAUAACUGCUCACCUUUAACUGGACGUUGGAGAGAUGUUACACAUGGCCAAUGGGGAAAUCUUUGUUAAGAACCAGGAAAAACUCAAAGAGGAGACACAAAACUGUAGGCAUCCUGUCCAUACGCACACUAUACUUCCCAGCCUGUGCAUCACACAUCGAUCUCCUGUAUCCCUUGGGUUUCCCCGUGUGCUUUGCUGGUGCCUUGUAUUAGCAGAGCUAAUCUUAGCACUGUCUUUCUUGAUUCCAAUUGAAAACAGUUAGGAUUUGUAAGUACUUUGACUUGUUUUUUCUCCAAUACCAGCUGUCAGAAGCGCACAUAGGUCUCAUGAAACAGGUGCGGUUUUUGAACUGAUUUAAAUGAAGAAGGGAGAGACAUUUGGUAAAUAUUAAUUGGCAUGCACUCUGAGUAAGGACAGCAAACAGAAUGGGAAGAACAGGAGUUUGGGAGUGCCUCAUAAAUGGGAUUUAUUUUACUUCAUUUUAAUUUCUUUAUAUCUUUUUUUAUCACAAGAAAAGGGAAUGCAGAUAUCAUUUGAUCCUGUGGAGCCCUUCAUGAGGCUGUAUCCCUCUGACUCAUUAAGUGGAUGGGAGCAUUUGUUAACUAAUUGUGUGGCACCUCACAGUCAUUAUCUUUUUUUGUCAGUGCCAUUGUUUUUGCCCUUCUAUGUCUUCUAAUAUUUGAAAUAAGCAGUAAAAAUGUUAACACAGGAAAUAAUCGUGGAGAUCUUUUUUUCUCCAAGUAACAUACAUUGCACAGAGCUUACCUGAGAAGGAUUGAACUUGUAGUCUAUACAAGAGUCCCAGCCCAUUUUAAAUGCCACGUUGGUUUUAUGACAACUAGAUUAGAGUUUCCCAGUGUAUGGACCUACCUUACAAGAAAUACUUGUAGAUGAAGUUUAAAGGAUGGAGGUAAAGUAAGGAAAAUGUCUCUUUAUUCUCUGAUGAUGCUCAAGUCUGAAAGAAAUAUUAUUGUCUACAUGAACAAACAGAAAAAAUGGUUAUACUUUAUACUUAUUUAUAUGUAUUUUUAAUGUUUAUACUUAAAUUUAUACUACCUGGUACAUUAUUAUGCAUUUUUCAGCAUGAGUUCUGUUUAUUACUGCCUGAAAUAGGAACUUUGACAUUGGAAAGAAGAACUCUUUGUGUCCAGACAGCAAGAAGGAUGUGGAUUGCAUCAGCCUCUUUCCCCCUUGUGACUUUCCUUCGUUUGAGGACUAAAUCCUCUGGUAUUUGUGUGCGCAGAGUUUCACAAGGAACACUUCAACGCAACGACCCUGCUUUGGGGAGUGGGAGGAAUGGUGUGCUUUGAACAAGCGUCCUCGAGGCAGAGAACAACAGGAAGGCACAGUGCCGUGCAUCCUCCUUUCUUUAUGUAUGCAUAUGGAGUGCAAGCUAAUGGGGUCUGCAGAGGGAGAAGGUGCAGUGGAAUCAGGGAGCUCUGGAAGUUCAGCAAAAACAAUGACAGACGUGCAGCUUCCCUGUAUCUGCUCUGCAUAAUGGAGACUCUGGUUUCUACAGCACUUGGAUGCUCAGUCGUCCUGGGAUUUCGUGAAGGACAUGGAAAACAAGUGCAUUUGCUGUACCUACUUCCUGCUGAUAGUCUGGAAAUGGAGCAAAUCAGAGAGAAAUGUAGCUUUUUGGAUCAUUAAAAAUCCAUUUUCAUUAAAAGCCAAGGAUUGCAGUGACAUACUUAUUUAUACAUUCAUCCCCUGUCUGUCUCUGCCUUACAGAUAGAGUGAAAAGAGAGCCUUUUCAGAGCAGUUUUAAAGCCUAAAUGAAAGAAAAGCAUUCUAUUUACCUUGAAUUACUUACAUGGCAUACUUGUUUGGGGUUGUUUUUUUUCCACACUGUAUGGAACGGCAAUUACUCUGCAUUCUUUCUUUACCACCAGCUCCUUUUGUCCUAUGUAUCUAUAAUUUGUUUUUAUCUAUAUCUUCCACCUAUCUAUUUCCUCUUUGUGCUUAGAGUUGGUUGCAAAUUAUAUUUGUGAUGCAGGGAGCUUUCAGUCUGACUGCCUUGAUAUUAUUUUAUGCAACCGUGACUACCGUAAAAAUUGGCUUUACUGCCUCUUUUGUGUUAUUGAUUCAAGCCCAUUUCAGAAUUAACUUGUUUGGAAUGAUCUGGCAAUGUUGUGUGCCCCAGGUUC
Strigops habroptila (Kakapo) is the source of this 3991-nucleotide long non-coding RNA. RefSeq lists it as uncharacterized. The transcript is spliced from 10 exons. The record is from RefSeq and is a predicted model, not a curated record. Lineage: Eukaryota; Metazoa; Chordata; Aves; Psittaciformes; Psittacidae.